AGCGACUAUAAAAAGGAGGAAAAUAGGAAAAUUGGCAACAUAGUGUUGCAAAAGAUCUAAGCAAGAAGACGGUCCAAAGUAGUUUUUAACACUAAAAAAAAGUGAAUAUUUAUAUGUGUGUUUACUUGUUAACAAAAAGUUCCCCAAAAUCACAAUAUUUUUUUUGGUCUCCACUGACUGCUGAGUGGGGAUCUGGUGUUAAAUGCCCGGUCCUUGGGUUUAAAUUGGCCGUUGAAUUUGAAGGUCUCCCUGUUUGGUGUCAUACUUCUGUUUGGUGUCCGUAUCUGAGGCAGCGGAAUUUGGGUCAAAAUUGAUCGGAUGGCCACAAGUUGGAGAUUUUUUGUUGAUCGCAAGUUGUCAUCUCCUAUGGCAUAAAAAUUAAUAUUUUGCCACGUAA
Musca domestica (house fly) is the source of this 397-nucleotide long non-coding RNA. RefSeq lists it as uncharacterized. The transcript is spliced from 2 exons. The record is from RefSeq and is a predicted model, not a curated record. Lineage: Eukaryota; Metazoa; Arthropoda; Insecta; Diptera; Muscidae.